Mya arenaria is the source of this 733-nucleotide long non-coding RNA. RefSeq lists it as uncharacterized. Lineage: Eukaryota; Metazoa; Mollusca; Bivalvia; Myida; Myidae. The record is from RefSeq and is a predicted model, not a curated record. The transcript has 3 exons.
GGAACUGUCUGUUGAAGACCCCCCCCCCCCACCAAGCUGCCCACCAGAGGCCAAGCUGUACUUGGUGUUUGCCAACAUGCUGUAAUUUCCAGCCUGGUUGCUGUAGCCACAGAGGAAUUUUCAAGGACAAGAACCAGUGCUGGUAAAACUGUGGUCUCGUGUGGUUUUCCAUACCGGCUCUCGGCAAGGAUUUUCAAGAAAGGAAUACCAUCUCCAAAUCAUGAUGUGCCAAUAAGCUCCAGUUAGCUGCGGCCUUUUCCCCAGGCGGUAGUCCUGCAAUCUGAAUCCAGGAGAUGCAGCUCUGAAUCCAAUAUUUCAGAAGAAUGAAGAUGUUAGUCAACUCUGUAGUACUUGUUUGUGUGUAAAUGAUUCCAAUGAGUGAGAUUUAUAGCAAAUCAGGUGUAAAUAAGCAUCUUAUAGACAAUAGUGAAGUGCUGUACUCUGAAUUUAAUGCCAAAUCUAGCCUUCAAAACAGAUUCUUAAAGUAAUUUUUUUUUAAAAAUGGGCAUAAUAAUGCUAUCUCUGCAUUUUCUACAUCAUGUAGCCACCUCAUACAUGAAAACACUAGCAGUUGUCAUGAAUCUUUAAGUUUUGGUGUGUUUUUUGCCAUUUCCUUUGUUGCGCCAUUUGUCCCGGAAGCCAACAAUUUGGCAUAUAGUGUUGUUUAGACUGUCUAUUAACACAUGAUCACUAAAUUUCUUGUGUUAAACUGGACAGUUCUGUUACCUUUGUA